UUUAGCUGUCAGACUUCACAUCGUCUAAUAGACCUGAGAUAUGACCCUGGUGCAUGCGUCAUGUAACGCUGAAUAUAAACCCCAGCACUGCAGCAGUGUUUACGACUUCGUCGGAACUUGGAUUGUAACACAUAUGCAGGGAAAUAGAUACUGGCUUUUAUAGGGACAAGGUUUUUCUAACGUGUGACCGUGUUACUCGCAGUCAAGGGAAGCAUCAAGGACAACAGAGAUGAGGCUUUCACUACUCUUGCAUCUCUUGUUCAUCUGUGCGCACAAAGAAUUAUGUUCCAGUUAUGUCACAAGGAGGGUCAUUCACGUUGACAGUGUUCCGCGUACUAUUGAGGCUACGCCACCUUACCGGGGGUCAGCUGAGUGGCGCUUCUUGGUUAGUGAUGUGAUAGGGUCACUUAUACCUUGACCGUCAACACCAGGUUGCCGCCUACGAGGAACUGUUCACAAUAAUAACUCUGUCAUAAGUAUCAAAGAAG
Haliotis rubra (blacklip abalone) is the source of this 488-nucleotide long non-coding RNA. RefSeq lists it as uncharacterized. Lineage: Eukaryota; Metazoa; Mollusca; Gastropoda; Lepetellida; Haliotidae. The record is from RefSeq and is a predicted model, not a curated record. The transcript has 3 exons.